This is a small nucleolar RNA of Cricetulus griseus (Chinese hamster), 68 nucleotides long. Its record names the gene SNORD18. It matches the Rfam family "Small nucleolar RNA SNORD18". From Rfam's summary of the family: U18 is a member of the C/D class of snoRNA which contain the C (UGAUGA) and D (CUGA) box motifs. It is encoded in introns of ribosomal protein L1 in Xenopus and human, and in introns of elongation factor 1 beta in yeast. Lineage: Eukaryota; Metazoa; Chordata; Mammalia; Rodentia; Cricetidae. The record is from Ensembl.
AGUGGGUGAUGAAAUGCCAUUGGUCCGUGUUUCUGAAACAUGUGAUUUUACGUGGCUAGUCUGAUACU